GAACGCACAUUGCGCCCCUUGGCAUUCCGAAGGGCAUGCCUGUUCGAGCGUCAUGACCAAAUCUCAAGCCUUGCUUGGUAUUGGGUUUUCGUCUUCCUUGUCUUCAUACGGGUAUUGACGUGCCUGAAAAUCAAUGACAGUACCUCAACAAUAGACUCAAGCGUAGCAGACUGACUCGCUUUAGACGACUUUGUAGGUCCUGUAAAUAAAAUAACAAGUUGGACCUCGGAUCAGGUAGGGAUACCCGCUGAACUUA
RNAcentral lists this unclassified non-coding RNA (256 nucleotides) under uncultured fungus. Its description in RNAcentral is "sequence contains 5.8S rRNA gene". The record is from RNAcentral. Lineage: Eukaryota; Fungi.